Molecule: ribosomal RNA, 478 nt
Filed under: uncultured bacterium
Lineage: Bacteria
Description: partial 16S ribosomal RNA
Rfam family: Bacterial small subunit ribosomal RNA
Source: RNAcentral
GAUGAACGCUGGCGGCGUGCUUAACACAUGCAAGUCGAACGAGAAGUGAAGACGGAAACCUUCGGGCGGAAGGCUUUAUUUCGAGUGGCGGACGGGUGAGUAACGCGUGGGUAACCUGCCUCAUACAGGGGGAUAACAGUUGGAAACGACUGUUAAUACCGCAUAAGACCACAGCACCGCAUGGUGCGGGGGUAAAAACUCCGGUGGUAUGAGAUGGACCCGCGUUCGAUUAGCCAGUUGGCAGGGUAACGGCCCACCACAGCGAGGAUCGAUAGCCGGUAUGAGAGGCUGACCGCCCACAUUGGGACUGGGACACGGCCCAGACUCCUACGGGAGGCAGCAGUGGGUAAUAUAGCACAAUGGGGGAAACCCUGAUGCAGCGACGCCGCGUGAGUGAAGAAAUAUUUCGGUAUGUAAAGCUCUAUCAGCAGGGAAGAAAAUGACGGUACCUGAGUAAGAAGCCCCGGCUAACUACGUG